RNAcentral lists this ribosomal RNA (253 nucleotides) under uncultured bacterium. RNAcentral describes it as "partial 16S ribosomal RNA". It matches the Rfam family "Bacterial small subunit ribosomal RNA", at positions 524 to 776 of the family's 1533-position model. The record is from RNAcentral.
UACGGAGGGAGCUAGCGUUGUUCGGAAUUAUUGGGCGUAAAGAGCUCGUAGGCGGUUUGUUGCGUCGGCUGUGAAAUCCCGAGGCUCAACCUCGGGUCUGCAGUCGAUACGAGCAAACUAGAGUGUUGCAGGGGAGACUGGAAUUCCUGGUGUAGCGGUGAAAUGCGCAGAUAUCAGGAGGAACACCGGUGGCGAAGGCGGGUCUCUGGGCAACAACUGACGCUGAGGAGCGAAAGCGUGGGGAGCGAACAGG